Molecule: ribosomal RNA, 618 nt
Filed under: uncultured Alphaproteobacteria bacterium
Lineage: Bacteria; Pseudomonadati; Pseudomonadota; Alphaproteobacteria
Description: SSU rRNA
Rfam family: Bacterial small subunit ribosomal RNA
Source: RNAcentral
UACGAUCUUUAAUUGGUCUAAGAAGAUGACCAGUCACACUGGAACUGAGACACGGUCCAGACUCUUACGGGAGGCAGCAGUGGGGAAUAUUGGACAAUGGGCGAAAGCCUGAUCCAGCGACGCCGCGUGGAUGAUGAAGGCCUUCGGGUUGUAAAGUCCUUUCGGUAGGGAAGAUAAUGACGGUACCUACAAAAGAAGCUCCGGCUAACUUCGUGCCAGCAGCCGCGGUAAUACGAAGGGAGCUAGCGUUACUCGGAAUCAUUGGGCGUAAAGCGUGCGUAGGCGGUCUUGUAAGUUAGAAGUGAAAUCCUGGGGCUCAACCCUAGAACUGCUUUUAAUACUGCUCGACUAGAAUACUUGAGGGGACAGUAGAAUUCCUAGUGUAGGGGUGAAAUCCGUAGAUAUUAGGAGGAAUACCAGUGGCGAAAGCGACUGUCUGGCAAGUUAUUGACGCUGUUGCACGAAAGCGUGGGGAGCAAACAGGAUUAGAUACCCUGGUAGUCCACGCCAUAAACGAUGAGUGCUAGAUAUCAGAUUUAUAUUUGGUGUCGUAGCUAACGCGUUAAGCACUCCGCCUGGGAAGUACGGUCGCAAGAUUAAAACUCAAAGGAAUUGACG